Molecule: long non-coding RNA, 306 nt
Organism: Vidua chalybeata
Lineage: Eukaryota; Metazoa; Chordata; Aves; Passeriformes; Viduidae
Exons: 3
Source: RefSeq, a predicted model, not a curated record
AAAGACUGUAAAGUCAUGCACGAAUCCCGAGUAAUAAAAUGUUAGGGAAGAAAAACAAAGAGUCUGUCCUUUAGAGAGAGAAGCAUAAGGGAAAAAACUCAGUCAAUAUUCUUGCCAUUUCACAUGUGAAGAAUGUCAAAGAUAUCCCAAACCAAGAAACCAAUAGCUUUGUGUUUCAUCUUUCUUUGAAAUUGCGAAAUGAAGAAGACAGAUCAGAAGAAUGGAAAUGAAGGCAUCAAGCAGUACAAAAGUGUCUCAGAAUGAAAACCUGUUUUUGUACUGUGGCUCUAGUGGCUGCAAAAAGGU